GGAGACAUUUGGGUGCAUUUGGAGCUCAAAAAGGAGUGUUUAGAGUGGUCAUUGGGCGAGCAAGGCAUGGAGCGACCAGUCCGGAGCGACACCACCAAGUCGCUCUGACCUCCCUAUUGGAGCGACCUUACCAGAGCGACAGGGAGAAGUCGCUCGCGGUUUCAUCACUCGGAGACGCGAGAACGAGCCCGGAGCGACCUCCCGGAGCGACACCACGAAGUCGCUCGCAUCUCACACCCCUCUCGGAGCGACCUCCCAAAGCGAUACCCCGAGGUCGCUCGCGUCUCUAUGGCGAGACGACACGAAGCGAAGCCUGGAGCGACCUCUCAGAGCGACCCACUGAGGUCGCUCCCGAAGGCCGGAGCGACUUGCCGGAGCGACAUGCCGAGGUCGCUCCGCGCCUAUUAUCUGCUCGAUUUCUAUUUUACUUAAGGGCCUUUUGGUCAUUUCAUUAUGCACGUUUUUACAUUUCUAAAACCUAUGUUUUAAACAUCUUUUGUAGCCACCAGAGGCAUUUUAUCUUUUAUCUUUUGAUCUAUUGAGAAAUACACAAGAACUCUCUUGAGAAGUUCAUCUUUGGGUUUUGAUUUGUUAUGUUCUUGUGUUGAUUUCUUAUCUAUUUCUUUACAUGAUUAAUCUGAAAUCCAAUAUGGGUUUAAGAGGAAUCAUGGAGAUUAGUGAGUAAUCACCUUUUGAAUUCAUGGGUUAGGGAGAUUAAGGGUGAUUAGGUUAGAGCUAGGAUGUUUUAGUGUAGAUCAUUCAUAUUUCCUUGCUAGUAGAGUAAUCAUAAUGCAUCUUCUGAGUUGGCCACUCAGUUGUUGAUCCUUAGGCAUUUCUCACCCGAAAGGUGUUCGAUGAAAUGCCCGAGACAACUCUCCUGGGCUUUUAGUAUACUUUGCCAAAGACAUUUGUUGUUAAAGGUGCUAAGAUAGCUAAUAGACUUGUUAGUAAUGAUUGCUUUCAUAUUAUUCAACCAAAGACAUUUGAUGUUUGAGAUAUGUUAGCAAAUGAGCAUUCAUCUAGACAUAGAGCUUGCUUAGAAUUGUGUCUAGGCUUAAGGUUGAUAGUUUGAUUGAUCAUUUGCCAUCCUUAGUUCGAUACUUGAUCACCCAAGGUCUAAUCCCUAUGCCCAUGAGUUCUCUUUUCCCUUAGUCAAGAAAGUAUCAUUUAGUUAUUACUUUUAAUUAGUCAUAGUUUUAAAACUCAUCUAAAUCAUUGGUUGCACUUAGAUUAAGUGAGUACUUGCAUUCUCAGUGCUUUGAUAUCCCUCAGAACUGGUUCGACAAUCAUUUAUACUACAACAUUUGUCUUAGGAGCCUUGAAAACUCCUAACAUCAAAUUGGCGCCGUUGCCAAAUUCUGAGUAGAUUUGAACAUUGAGAUUUAGUCACUUGCUUGAGACUAAGUCAUUUUUAUUUUCUUUUGUUACUGAUUCUCUUUCUUCACCUCCCUUUAAUCUACAGGUGUAUGAACUUGAGGAGCAGAGGUCCAUCAAACCUAGUUCCAAUAGCUGCAGACAUCAGAGCUUUAGAGAGAGAGUGUGCUAGAAAUAGAAGAGAAGAAGAGCAACAGGCUCACUUGCAGAGAUUGAGUACUGAUAUGGGAGACAUACCUCAAAACCAACAGCGAGCAGCUCGACCCAUUGGCACUUACGACCGCCCCAACAUUCAUGGUCAUAGAUUGGGAAUCCGAGCACCCGCUGUGGCAGCCAACAACUUUGAGAUCAAAUCAGGACUCCUCAACGUGAUCGAGAACAACAAGUAUCAUGGCUUGGCUCUAGAGGAUCCAUUUGAUCACUUGGACAGGUUCGACAGCUACUGUGGGUUGUCAAAAACCAAUGGUGUGUCCGAAGAUGCCUUAAAGCUCAAGCUAUUCCCUUUCUCCUUGGGGGAUAAGGCACGUCAGUGGGAGAAGUCUCUACCCAGCGAUUCCAUCACCACUUGGGAUGACUGCAAGAAAGCAUUCUUGGAGAAGUUCUUCUCUACUUCAAGAACUGCUAAGCUGAGAAACGAGAUCUCCAGCUUUCAACAGAAGGGCUUGGAAGGUUUCAGUGAAGCCUGGGAGAGAUUCAAGGGCUACCAAGCUCAAUGCCCACACCAUGGUUUCUCUAAGGAGAGCUUGCUGAGCACAUUCUACCGUGGUGCUCUCCCUAAGUACAGGGCCAGACUGGAUACAGCUAGUAAUGGGUUCUUCUUGGGGAGAACUGAGGAGGAUGCAGAGGAGCUGGUUGACAACAUGGUUAAGAGUGAUGCAGUCUACAGUGGAGACCACGACAGAAGCAGUAGAACUGAGGAUAAGCAAACGAGGAAGGAGUUGAAAGCUCUACAGGAUAAGAUCGACCUUCUCAUUGCUGAAAAAGCCACCCAAGAGCAGCUGAAGUUUGUUGGUAACUCCAAGCAGGAAGAUCCACUUGCUGUCAAUGAGGUUGAGGGUUUGGAAGGUCAAGAGGAGUUGUGUUUCAUCAACAACAAUGGUAGCUGGUACAAAAAGGAGCCCAAUUUUCAGUACAACAACUACCAACAGAAAUCCUAUCCCAACAACCAGCAGAGUGGCUAUCCGCCAAGAAACAACCAGCAAGGCAGCUAUCAGCCUCAGCAAAAUCCCUCGUCUGGUUCCUCUGCUCCUCAAGAGAGCAGAACUGAUACCUUACUGAAACAAAUCUUGGAGUCUCAGACUAGAAGUGAGAAGCAAGUUGGUUAUGAGUUGAAGAACCUUCAUUCCAAGAUUGAUGGGAGCUACAAUGAGCUCAACAACAAAUUCUCACACCUUGCUUCUACAGUCAGGAAUUUAGAGAAUCAAUUUGCUUCCAUGAACACUCACCAGAAUCGCCAGCAAGGAUCUCUACCUGGAAAGUCUGACCAAAAUCCCAAGGAGGCCAAAGCUAUCACCCUUAGGAGUGGUAAGCAGUUACCUCCUAGAACCCUCACCAAGGAUGCUGAGAAAUUAGGUGAGGGGGUUGCCAUCAACAUAGAUGAUGAAGUGGUGAUUGUUGAUGAGAAGAUCAAUGACGAGAUCUUGGAGAAGAUAGUGGAAGCCAAAGGUAAAGGAAAGGUUGGGGAAGAGAAGAAGACAGUAAAGGAUGGUGAAGUUGUUACUCCAGCAAGUGAAAGUUCUUUUGUUCCUCCUCCCUAUGAACCCAAACUUCCAUUCCCUGGUAGAUUCAAGAAGCAGCUGCUAGAGAAGUACAAAGCUCUGUUUGAGAAGCAAAUGAGUGAAGCUCAGGUUGCAAUGCCCAUCAUCGAUGCUUUCAUGUUGAUUCCUCAAUACAACAAGUUCCUGAAAGAUGUUGUAGCUGCAAAGAAGAAGGAGAUGGAAGGCAUGAUGAUUCUUACCCAUGAGUGCAAUGCCAUCAUCCAGAGGCUUGAUGUUCCAGAGAAAUUAGAGGAUCCAGGAAGCUUCACACUACCUUGUGCUCUUGGACCUAUGGUAUUUGAGAAAAGUCUCUGCGAUUUGGGAGCUAGUGUUAGCGUAAUGCCUUUGUCUGUUGCCAAGAAGCUCGGAUUCACUCAGUACAAGAAGUGUAGACUCUCUCUGGUGUUAGCUGAUCGUUCAGUGAAGUACCCUGUGGGCAUCUUAGAGGACCUCCCUGUGAAGAUUGGAAGGUAUGAGAUACCUACAGAUUUUGUGGUGCUUGAGAUGGGUGAGGAGGCUCAAGAUCCAUUGAUUCUAGGAAGGCCAUUCUUAGCUACAGCAGGAGCUAUUGUUAAUGUGAAGGAGGGCACGAUUGAUCUCCAUUUGGGUAAAGAGAACAUCCUCCACUUUGACAUCAAGGGGAAAAUGAGGAAACCAACUGUGUUCGGGCAAGCCUUCUACAUUGAAGAGAUUGCCACUCCUGCUGAUGAGCACCUUAAAGAGUUACCACCUGAGGACGACGAGGAGGGAGCAUCUCCCUCUACUCAUUCCCCAUAGAAGGUAACCCACCACACUCCCUUGUAUAUACCAUUUCAUUUUUGCAUAUUAGUCUUUUUUUUGGUAUCUCUCUCUACUUGACGACACAGAGACUGUGUAACUCAAGUUUGGGGGAGGUACCAAGUAUUUGAUCAUGUUUGCUUUGAUGUUGUUUCAUUGAGUCAUGCAUGGCAUACCUAUUUGCAUAGAUAAAAAAAAAAUCAAUCAUUUAGUUUGCAUCAUUUGCAUUUUUAGGAGAGUCUAGAGCAUAUAGGUUGCAUUCACUUGCAUUGGGAGCAAUGAUUUUGAAUGCCUUGUAAAGAACACUACGUUGCACUUGACUAGCUUUUGCACCUCUCAAAAAGACUUGUAUGUUUCGAGCCUUGAAAACUCUUCCUGAAACUUGUUGAUUGCUGAAACUCAGUCUUUGAAGCCAACUACAACCUUAUUUGAACUGAACGAACUUAAUGCUUCUUGCUCAUGGUCCCUUGUGUACUGAGUCAUGGCUAUACACACUUGAGUUGUCACAUCUUUUAUACCAAUCUUUUUUGACAAACUCUAGUGGUAGACCACUCCCAAAACCUUUUCCUCCUUUUAAGCUUUCAUUGUUUGAUGAGUGAGGCCUUUUUCGGAAAGUCUUACAUGUGCAUAAUGUUGAGAGUAUCGGGAACGACAAUGCUUGAUCUUCAUUCUUGCUAGAUUGGACACUUUAUUGUCUAGCUAUAGGUGGGGGUGAGUGUUGUGAUUAUGAUUUGGGAGAAAUGAAAAAGAAAAAGAAUAGACUCUUUGUGCUUAAGUGAAUUGUUUUAUUGGGACCAGUAUAGAAGCCUCUAGCUCAAGUUUUGAAAAGUCUUGGCCCCCAGCCUAAAAAAAAAAAAAAAAAAAAAAAGAGAAAAAGAAAGAAAAGGGGGCUAGCAAAGUUGUUAGGAGCUAAGAAAUGUUUUGAGGUUGUGAAAAAAAUCUCUUGUAGAUUUCAAAGAGAAGGAGUUAAAGUUCUUAGGAUCUUUUGGUGAGAGAUGUGAGUUGGGUUUGACAUUGGGAAAUGAUUGUGUGAUUUGUAUGUUUGAGAAAAGGGUAGAACAAUGGAGAUUGAGCAUUGUAUGCAUGAGUUGGUCCCUUUCUUAGAUAUAUUAUGUGCAAUGUCAAGGCUACUUGUUUUGAGAGUAAACCACCUUAAAGAUCAUAUGUUUUGAACCUCUUGAAUCACUUAAUAAAAGCCUUCCCUUACCCAACCAAAUGACUUGGACCAAUUGACCAUUUGCAAGAAUUCACCUGAUGUUUUGUGCUUAAUGAAUGUGAGAGUUGGUUGAUUUGAAUGUGUGGAUGCUUGAUGAUGAGUGUAAGAACAAAAAGAGUUAAGAUAGGCCUAGAGAAGCUAGAGUGUAAUAAGAGAGUGUGCUAGUUGUGUUUCUUUUGGCUAUGUGCUCCCUCCUUCAACCUCUCUCCCUAUGAGUUCUAGAAAGUUCACUUGUGGACAAGUAAAAGAACAAGUUUGGGGGAGUUGAUAUCUUGCAUAUUUACAUUGUUUUAUCCAUUCAUUCAUAAACAUUUUCAUCAUAUAGAUUAGGAUUUAGACAUGUUUAGGUUGCAUUUUGCAUACAUAUGUCUCUAUCAGGUAUUUGAGUACCACAUCGAGUUUCUGGAGACAUUUGGGUGCAUUUGGAGCUCAAAAAGGAGUGUUUAGAGUGGUCAUUGGGCGAGCAAGGCAUGGAGCGACCAGUCCGGAGCGACACCACCAAGUCGCUCUGACCUCCCUAUUGGAGCGACCUUACCAGAGCGACAAGGAGAAGUCGCUCGCGGUUUCAUCACUCGGAGACGCGAGAACGAGCCCGGAGCGACCUCCCGGAGCGACACCACGAAGUCGCUCGCAUCUCACACCCCUCUCGGAGCGACCUCCCAAAGCGACACCCUGAGGUCGCUCGCGUCUCUAUGACGAGACGACACGAAGCGAAGCCUGGAGCGACCUCUCAGAGCGACCCACUGAGGUCGCUCCCGAAGGCCGGAGCGACUUGCCGGAGCGACAUGCCGA
Molecule: long non-coding RNA, 5916 nt
Filed under: Brassica rapa (field mustard)
Lineage: Eukaryota; Viridiplantae; Streptophyta; Magnoliopsida; Brassicales; Brassicaceae
Description: long non-coding RNA (BRAP_LNC005710)
Source: RNAcentral